Molecule: ribosomal RNA, 489 nt
Filed under: uncultured bacterium
Lineage: Bacteria
Description: bacterial SSU rRNA
Rfam family: Bacterial small subunit ribosomal RNA
Source: RNAcentral
GGCUCAGAUUGAACGCUGGCGGCAUGCCUUACACAUGCAAGUCGAACGUAACGCGGGGCAACCUGGCGACGAGUGGCGAACGGGUGAGUAAUAUAUCGGAACGUGCCCAGUAGGUGGGGGAUAGCCCGGCGAAAGCCGGAUUAAUACCGCAUGAGACCUGAGGGUGAAAGCGGGGGAUCGCAAGACCUCGCGCUAUUGGAGCGGCCGAUAUUAGAUUAGGUAGUUGGUGGGGUAAAGGCCUACCAAGCCGACGAUCUGUAGCUGGUCUGAGAGGACGACCAGCCACACUGGGACUGAGACACGGCCCAGACUCCUACGGGAGGCAGCAGUGAGGAAUAUUGGACAAUGGGCGAAAGCCUGAUCCAGCAAUGCCGCGUGUGUGAAGAAGGCCUGAGGGUUGUAAAGCACUUUCAAUCGUGAAGAAAAGUUGCAGGCUAAUACCCUGUGACCUUGACGUUAACGAUACAAGAAGCACCGGCUAACUCCGUG